AAAAACCUCCAAAACAGGACAUUUUGGUGUUUGUCUGAAAAGUUUCUGACAAAAACUCAAAAUUUUCCUUGGAAAGCAUACACUUUACAUGAAAAAAAUCAUUUUAUUGAAAAUCUGAUUUUCUAUCAAAUGGCAGUUUCCAUGGAAGCUUUUCAACCAGUCCUAGAGAUGAGUCAGAAUUAGCAAUCUGAUACCAGCCUGUGUAUACAUUUCUGCAGAGGCUAGCAAUGCUGUAGGACCCUCUUUGGGGCUUCUGGGGAAGUAAUGUUUGGGAAGCUCAAAUGGUGCUGGUAGGGAGUGCAGGGCAGCCCAGUACAGGUGUGGUGACAACAGACCUCAUGUACCUCAAGUAUAUGCUCCAAGAUCUGUGGUGUGAAACCCCUUGUUUAAUGUUAGAUGAAUUAGGGCACCCAACACCUCCCAGGAGGCUAUGUGCACCUUGUAGCUUCAGAUCCAUAGUGUAGCAUGGGUUUAUCAUGUGAACUCAAGGAGCUAAGUCACUUUUAAUUUUUUGUUGUUUAUUUAAAUCUUUUCCUAGAAAGAUAUUUAACUCCAUGGCUGGUCUGUCUAUUUUAUAACCUGGCUAUCUGUACAUAUGAGAUCUGUUGCAUCUGAGAGACCAUGUUUAUUUAAGAUGAUGAAAAAAUGAUAACAUGGGAGAAUUUGAUGUAUUAAUAAGAAGCUUGAAGGAAAACAAAAUAGCUGAAGGAAGCGUGAAUAAAAAUGUACAUUAGUAGCACAUAUUCUCUUUUAUUAAUAAAAUAUUUUAUAUUUCUAGUGAGAGCAUCUGGCUCCUUUGAAGAAUACAAUCAGUACACAGACAGUGAUGGAGAUAAUUUCCACAAAGCAGAGGUGGAAAACCAUGCUCUGACAGAGAGAAGAAAAGACAAGCAGAUUCCUCAUCAAUGCUAGGAAGCUCAAAGAACAUUGACAAUCAGCCAGCGACAGAAGAAACAGUAUUGGAGGGAAAAAUAAUAAAUAAUCUCAACUGCUCGGCUUGUCUGUAUGG
Molecule: long non-coding RNA, 1009 nt
Filed under: Chrysemys picta bellii (western painted turtle)
Lineage: Eukaryota; Metazoa; Chordata; Testudines; Emydidae
Description: lncRNA (ENSCPBG00000016155.1)
Source: RNAcentral